Molecule: ribosomal RNA, 351 nt
Filed under: Triticum aestivum (bread wheat)
Lineage: Eukaryota; Viridiplantae; Streptophyta; Magnoliopsida; Poales; Poaceae
Description: partial small subunit ribosomal RNA
Source: RNAcentral
AUGAGCCAUGCAUGCAUGUAUGUAGGCUGCGUGAAAGCUCUACUGCUCUUAACCGUGCAUGGGUUCUUAGAAAUAGCCAUUUCUCGGCCAGACGGGCAUUAUCAUUCAUUUUUUUUUCUUGAACCGGGCUUUACCCCCUUCCAUGGCAAGAGAACGGAAAUACAAACCAGUUCAAGUUGUCAGGAGGAGGGAAAGAGGGUAGAGCGAGUUCAAGCACUACCAGGAAACCCACCACAUUCGCUCGCCGUCGAAACGGAUGCCAUGGGGCGAAAACCUGGUAGCACCAACUUUGUCAUGUCUAUUACAAGCCAUAACCAACCGGGGAAAGCCGAGACAACACAAAACAAAUAG